UACGAAGGGGGCUAGCGUUGUUCGGAUUCAUUGGGCGUAAAGGGUGCGUAGGCGGUCGCGCAAGUCGGAUGUGAAAUCUCAGGGCUCAACCCUGAAACUGCAUUCGAUACUGCGUGGCUAGAGUGCUGGAGGGGAGACUGGAAUUUACGGUGUAGCAGUGAAAUGCGUAGAUAUCGUAAGGAAGACCAGUGGCGAAGGCGAAUCUCUGGACAGUUACUGACACUGAGGCACGAAGGCCAGGGGAGCAAACGGG
This 253-nucleotide ribosomal RNA is filed under the name uncultured bacterium. RNAcentral's name for it is "partial 16S ribosomal RNA". It matches the Rfam family "Bacterial small subunit ribosomal RNA", at positions 524 to 776 of the family's 1533-position model. The record is from RNAcentral.